AGGAAAAGAAACCAACAGGGAUUGCCCUAGUAACGGCGAGUGAAGCGGCAACAGCUCAAAUUUGAAAUCUGGCGUCUUUGGCGUCCGAGUUGUAAUUUGCAGAGGGCGCUUUGGCAUUGGCAGCGGUCCAAGUUCCUUGGAACAGGACGUCACAGAGGGUGAGAAUCCCGUACGUGGUCGCUAGCCUUUACCGUGUAAAGCCCCUUCGACGAGUCGAGUUGUUUGGGAAUGCAGCUCUAAAUGGGAGGUAAAUUUCUUCUAAAGCUAAAUACUGGCCAGAGACCGAUAGCGCACAAGUAGAGUGAUCGAAAGAUGAAAAGCACUUUGGAAAGAGAGUUAAAAAGCACGUGAAAUUGUUGAAAGGGAAGCGCUUGCAGCCAGACUUGCCUGUAGUUGCUCAUCCGGGUUUUUACCCGGUGCACUCUUCUACGGGCAGGCCAGCAUCAGUUUGGGCGGUUGGAUAAAGGUCUCUGUCAUGUACCUCCUCUCGGGGAGAACUUAUAGGGGAGACGACAUGCAACCAGCCCGGACUGAGGUCCGCGCAUCUGCUAGGAUGCUGGCGUAAUGGCUGUAAGCGGCCCGU
Molecule: ribosomal RNA, 583 nt
Filed under: Epicoccum latusicollum
Lineage: Eukaryota; Fungi; Ascomycota; Dothideomycetes; Pleosporales; Didymellaceae
Description: partial large subunit ribosomal RNA
Rfam family: Eukaryotic large subunit ribosomal RNA
Source: RNAcentral